Molecule: ribosomal RNA, 442 nt
Filed under: uncultured bacterium
Lineage: Bacteria
Description: partial 16S ribosomal RNA
Rfam family: Bacterial small subunit ribosomal RNA
Source: RNAcentral
CCUACGGGAGGCAGCAGUAGGGAAUCUUUCACAAUGGGCGAAAGCCUGAUGGAGCAACGCCGCGUGCAGGAUGAAUGCCUUCGGGUUGUAAACUGCUUUUAUAAGCGAGAAAUAUGAUGGUAACUUAUGAAUAAGGAUCGGCUAACUACGUUCCAGCAGCCGCGGUCAUACGUAGGAUCCGAGCAUUAUCCGGAGUGACUGGGUGUAAAGAGUUGCGUAGGUGGCAUAAUAAGUAGCUAGUGAAAUCUGGUGGCUCAACCAUUCAGACUAUUAGCUAAACUGUUAAGCUUGAGACCGUUAGAGGUAAGCGGAAUUCCUAGUGUAGGAGUGAAAUCCGUAGAUAUUAGGAGGAACACCAAUAGCGUAGGCAGGUUACUGGGACGGUUCUGACACUAAGGCACGAAAGCGUAGGGAGCAAACGGGAUUAGAUACCCUAGUAGUC